AUUUAAAUAGUUUAUAAUAAAACAUUGAUUUGUGGUAUCAAAAAAAAUUGUUAAUUUUUAAAUU
Molecule: transfer RNA, 64 nt
Filed under: Gilpinia sp.
Lineage: Eukaryota; Metazoa; Arthropoda; Insecta; Hymenoptera; Diprionidae
Description: tRNA-His
Source: RNAcentral